AUACAGAGGGUGCGAGCGUUAAUCGGAAUUACUGGGCGUAAAGCGCGCGUAGGCGGCUUAUUAAGUCAGAUGUGAAAUCCCCGGGCUCAACCUGGGAACUGCAUCUGAUACUGGUAAGCUAGAGUUUUGGAGAGGGAAGUAGAAUUUCAGGUGUAGCGGUGAAAUGCAUAGAGAUCUGAAGGAAUACCAGUGGCGAAGGCGACUUCCUGGCCAAAAACUGACGCUGAGGUGCGAAAGCGUGGGUAGCAAACAGGAUUAGAAACCCUAGUAGUCC
This 274-nucleotide ribosomal RNA is filed under the name uncultured bacterium. RNAcentral describes it as "partial 16S ribosomal RNA". It matches the Rfam family "Bacterial small subunit ribosomal RNA", at positions 523 to 796 of the family's 1533-position model. The record is from RNAcentral.